RNAcentral lists this transfer RNA (72 nucleotides) under Ardenticatenia bacterium. Its description in RNAcentral is "tRNA-Gln". It matches the Rfam family "tRNA". From Rfam's summary of the family: Transfer RNA (tRNA) molecules are approximately 80 nucleotides in length. Their secondary structure includes four short double-helical elements and three loops (D, anti-codon, and T loops). Further hydrogen bonds mediate the characteristic L-shaped molecular structure. tRNAs have two regions of fundamental functional importance: the anti-codon, which is responsible for specific mRNA codon recognition, and the 3' end, to which the tRNAs corresponding amino acid is attached (by aminoacyl-tRNA synthetases). tRNAs cope with the degeneracy of the genetic code in two manners: having more than one tRNA (with a specific anti-codon) for a particular amino acid; and 'wobble' base-pairing, i.e. permitting non-standard base-pairing at the 3rd anti-codon position. Lineage: Bacteria; Bacillati; Chloroflexota; Ardenticatenia. The record is from RNAcentral.
UGGGGGUUCGUCUAGCGGUAGGACAGCGGACUCUGGAUCCGUACGCCGAGGUUCGAAUCCCUCGACUCUCAG